CUGAGUGUCAUAUCCAGCAUACGCUCACAUAUGAACUUUCGGAUAGUCAGGCGUUUAGCUAUCCCAUAACUAGCCCAGCUUCCACACUUGGCUUCAAGUCAUGAAAAGGAGACAAUUCAGACUUCAUUGCUUCACACAUAAAAUUUACCACAUUUGAAAGGAUAGUACAGUUUUUAUUGAACCGAAAGCAACUGUGUGCAAAUCUCAUUCUUAAUCAGUAAACCUCUAUUUAUCAUAUUAAUAAAUGUGGAGUCUCAGAAGACUCAGAACCAAUGUAUAAUGGACCUAGGCACAGAUAUAUACUCUAAAAGGAACAAGAGACAUUUGCAACGACCCACUGAAGCUACAGUACUAAUCAUAAGCUGAAGAGCGUGGACUGAAGUAAUACUUACCAGGGAAAGAACUGAAGGAGCUGUAGGAAGUGCACCUUCCUUAGAUUGAACAAUUAUUUCCUCACAAAUGGCUUCUGGCAAACAAGGAGGCGUUGGUCGCUGCCAUUCUGAAGAUCGAUCACCCUUGCCUCCCAGCGUAUUU
RNAcentral lists this long non-coding RNA (534 nucleotides) under Daucus carota (carrot). RNAcentral's name for it is "long non-coding RNA (DCAR_LNC005763)". Lineage: Eukaryota; Viridiplantae; Streptophyta; Magnoliopsida; Apiales; Apiaceae. The record is from RNAcentral.